Molecule: RNA transcript, 1460 nt
Organism: Brassica napus (rape)
Lineage: Eukaryota; Viridiplantae; Streptophyta; Magnoliopsida; Brassicales; Brassicaceae
Gene name: nudix hydrolase 25-like
Exons: 4
Source: RefSeq, a predicted model, not a curated record
CAAGGUUCUCAAAGACUGUUCGAAGCAUGCUAGCCUUGAGGCAAGACCUUCAGCUCUAUCUCCGCUGCACUGUCAGGGAUGGACAAACAGCUUUGUUUUGGUAUGAUUACUGGACGGAGCUAGGUCCUUUAUACCUAUUAUUCGGGAGCUCAGGGCCUGCAUCUCUUAGGAUCCCUCUAAAUGCAACUGUGUCGCAAGCUGUUCGUGAUGGACACUGGAACCUACCCCCUGCGCGAUCUGAAUAUGCCGAGACUCUUCAUGUUAUAUUAUCUACCAUGCCUGUCCCAUGUCAAGCAAAUGGUAGCGAUGUGUUCUUGUGGAGAAACAGAUCAGGUGGUUUUGGUACUUCUUUCUCCUCUUCUGUUACGUGGGAGAGGCUACGCAUUCCUAACCCGCUGGUUCAGUGGCACCCGGUGGUUUGGUUCAAAGAAGAGAUCCCCCGCUGUUCCUUCAUUGUUUGGACUGCUGUUCUUAAAAGACUUCCUACUAGGGAUAGGUUGAUUGCUUGGGGCAUAACUCUUCCACCAGAUUGUGUUCUUUGUCCUAAUGCUGUGGAAUCUCAUUCCCAUCUGUUCUUUGAGUGUUCCUAUGCUACUGUCAUUUGGAAUCGAUUUUGUGGCAGGUACUUGGCGGCUCCGCCUACCUCUGUAGCGGCGGUGACUGAUCUAUGCCGACAGCUGCAAGGGCCCCAUGCGUCUCGAGCUGUAGCGGUGCUGAAGCUUUUGAAUCAAGUUAUUAUCUACAACCUUUGGCGCGAACGAAAUGCCCGUAUCUUCAGAGAUGUUUCUAUGACUCAAGAGGCGUUCUUCAAAGUUGUGGAUCGUAGUAUGCGGGAUAGAUUGCUCUCUCUUCCGUCUCGGACUGCAGCCUCUCUUCCGUCUAGGACUGCAGCUUCACCCUCCCUCCUCGAAUUGUACUUCUGCUUCGUUUUCCCUUAUAGUUAAUCCAAUCCAAUCUCUCUAGAAUGCUUCUUGUCAGCCCUCUCUCUCUUUUAUUCUCUCCUUGCUGUUUGUUGUAAUAAGUUGUGUUUUUUUCACAACAUUGUAAAACUCAGAAAAUGGUUAUAAAUUUUAACAUUUAGACCAAAAAAAAGAUAUACGUAUGCUUUUGUUUGAAAGAAAAAGCACAAACAAAAACACAUGCUCUUCGUUGUAGCUUCCUUGGGUUAACACUUUUCUCCUGCUUUAGAAGUCAAAGCUCCAAAAAAAAGAAAAAAGAAACCGAGGUAUUUGUGGCUUCAAGAUUGAAUGUUCCUGGAGCAUGGCAGAUGCCACAGGGUGGCAUUGAGGAUGGAGAGGAUCCAAAGUCAGCAGCCAUGAGAGAGUUACAAGAAGAAACUGGGGUAGUUUCAGCUGCAAUCAUCGCUGAGGUUCCAAAUUGGUUGACAUAUGAUUUCCCACCGGCAGUAAAAGCAAAGGUUAACCGUCUGUGGGGCGGUGAAUGGUAUGGUCAGGCGCAGA